AGCGUGAAAAUGCCCAGGGAGGAGAAAAACACUCCCGAACCUUUACGGUAACCUUUCAACCCCCAUAACUUCUCCGUCCGAGCUCCGAUUGCCGCACCGUUUGCGGCCACGCGUCCACCGCGUUGAGCUCUACAUUUCUACCGGAACAAUUUUACUGGAUCCAAUUAGCUUGAGAGAAACGUUCACUCUUGCUUAUGUGAAGCUUGGGUAAGGUUGUGAAUAAAUAAUUGGAGCUUGAAAUUGUGAAUACUGGAACUUGGAGGAAGCGGAUUAGUUGAGUUUUGAGGGGCUGUCUUGGUUUUGAAUAAAUAGCUUUGGUCGUUACGUGGAAAUUGGCUAAGAUGCAGGUUGAGAGGCAUCUCGUUAGGCGUCUGGACUUUUGAAGCGGAGUGGUUACUGGGAUAUUUUGUUAUGCUAUGGUGUAUAUAUAUGUACUUAGCUUUCUCUCCGAAUGACUUAUUCUUUUUGAUCCUCUUAGAGGUUUAUGGAGAGGCAGGAUUGUGUAUAUGUACUUUUGGGUUUGGAUAUGUAUGUAUAUAUGUGUAAAUAUUCU
Molecule: long non-coding RNA, 553 nt
Organism: Arachis stenosperma
Lineage: Eukaryota; Viridiplantae; Streptophyta; Magnoliopsida; Fabales; Fabaceae
Exons: 4
Source: RefSeq, a predicted model, not a curated record